Molecule: long non-coding RNA, 168 nt
Organism: Ailuropoda melanoleuca (giant panda)
Lineage: Eukaryota; Metazoa; Chordata; Mammalia; Carnivora; Ursidae
Exons: 2
Source: RefSeq, a predicted model, not a curated record
AGAAAGUAAUCUCUCUGACCUGCGUUUCUUUACAAGGUUUGAAGGAGAAGUUCUGCAGGACUCUGACAAGGGCGAGUUUCAUGUUCAUGAUCGCAAACCUCAUCCCAAUGCAGUUUCGCGGUCCAGUUCCAAAAGGCAGGUAUAUAUAAGGAUUUCUGCUGUCCUUGU